Molecule: long non-coding RNA, 539 nt
Filed under: Physcomitrium patens
Lineage: Eukaryota; Viridiplantae; Streptophyta; Bryopsida; Funariales; Funariaceae
Description: long non-coding RNA (PPAT_LNC007180)
Source: RNAcentral
CUGUGAUAGUCAUGAGCCACGGUUAAGCUUGAUGCUACUUCUUUGUUUCUUUGUUUUUUUUUGUUAUUGAAAAGUAAUGGAUAGUUUCUGAAUUCUAAAAAGUGAGUCUAUAGAAUAAAUCAGAGAUUGAUUUAUGAAUUAUUGAUUAUGUAAUUAGAGCACUGAGUGAUUGAAUUAUAUGAGGAGUUAUUAGAAGAUUAUGAUUGUUGUUUAUUGAGAGGUGUUUGUCUUUUGACAGAGGAAGUUUGUAAUUACAAAAAUUAUGUGAAUUCAGAUUAGUUGGAAUGAAGUUUGUUAUUCUUGGUGUCGGAUGGAAAUUAUGUGUUUUGAAUGGUCUUUUGAGAGUGCAAAGUUGUACACUAUUGUUAUUAGGUGAUGAAGGAAUAUUAUUUUUAGGAGAAAGCAUUGUAGUUUUUCUUAGUGUUUCAGUGGUUUGGAGUAUGGUUAUAUGUGUGAUCCUAACGAUUAAAACUCAUGGACUUAGUCUUUCUUUGUGUUCAAAUUUUCCAAUACAGGUUUAUUCUGAAAUGAAUUAUAUA